AACGAACGCUGGCGGCAUGCCUAACACAUGCAAGUCGAACGAGACCUUCGGGUCUAGUGGCGCACGGGUGCGUAACACGUGGGAAUUUGCCUCGGGGUAUGGAAUAACUCAGGGAAACUUGAGCUAAUACCAUAUAAUGUCUUCGGACCAAAGAUUUAUCGCCCUGAGAUAAGCCCGCGUAGGAUUAGCUAGUUGGUGGGGUAAAGGCUCACCAAGGCGACGAUCCUUAGCUGGUCUGAGAGGAUGAUCAGCCACACUGGGACUGAGACACGGCCCAGACUCCUACGGGAGGCAGCAGUGGGGAAUAUUGGACAAUGGGCGAAAGACCUGAUCCAGCAAUGCCGCGUGAGUGAUGAAGGCCUCGGUUGUAAGUACUCUUUACUUCGGUACGGACUAA
Molecule: ribosomal RNA, 397 nt
Filed under: uncultured bacterium
Lineage: Bacteria
Description: bacterial SSU rRNA
Rfam family: Bacterial small subunit ribosomal RNA
Source: RNAcentral